GUAUUUCUGAAGAGUCCCACAAUAGGACGCAACGACCGUCCAGUGU
RNAcentral lists this non-coding RNA (46 nucleotides) under Schistosoma curassoni. Lineage: Eukaryota; Metazoa; Platyhelminthes; Trematoda; Strigeidida; Schistosomatidae. The record is from RNAcentral.